Molecule: ribosomal RNA, 218 nt
Filed under: uncultured bacterium
Lineage: Bacteria
Description: partial 16S ribosomal RNA
Rfam family: Bacterial small subunit ribosomal RNA
Source: RNAcentral
GACGAACGCUGGCGGCGUGCUUAACACAUGCAAGUCGAGCGGUAAGGCCCUUUCGGGGUACGACGAGCGGCGAACGGGUGAGUAACACGUGGGUGACCUGCCCUCAGCUCUGGGAUAAGCCUGGGAAACCGGGUCUAAUACUGGAUAUGACUCCAUGACGCAUGUUGUGGGGUGGAAAGCCUUGUGCGGCUGAGGAUGGGCCCGCGGCCUAUCAGCUU